RNAcentral lists this ribosomal RNA (763 nucleotides) under Austroplaca darbishirei. Its description in RNAcentral is "LSU rRNA". It matches the Rfam family "Eukaryotic large subunit ribosomal RNA", at positions 165 to 944 of the family's 3401-position model. The record is from RNAcentral. Lineage: Eukaryota; Fungi; Ascomycota; Lecanoromycetes; Teloschistales; Teloschistaceae.
CGGGCGAGGCGCCGGUCUAAGUCCCUUGGAACGGGGCGUCAUAGAGGGUGAGAAUCCCGUAUGCGACCGGUGACCGAGUCCAUGUGAAACUCCUUCGACGAGUCGAGUUGUUUGGGAAUGCAGCUCAAAAUGGGUGGUAAAUUUCAUCUAAAGCUAAAUACCGGCCAGAGACCGAUAGCGCACAAGUAGAGUGAUCGAAAGAUGAAAAGCACUUUGGAAAGAGAGUCAAAAAGUACGUGAAAUUGUUGAAAGGGAAGCGCUUGCAACCAGACCUGCCCGCGGGUGAUCAACCGUCCUUCUGGGCGGUGCACUCGCCCGUGAUCAGGCCAGCAUCGGUUCGGGCGGCCGGAUAAAGGCCUUGGGAACGUAGCUCCUCUCGGGGAGUGUUAUAGCCCUUGGUGCAAUGCGGCCAGCCUGGACCGAGGACCGCGCUUCGGCUAGGAUGCUGGCGUAAUGGUUGUAAGCGGCCCGUCUUGAAACACGGACCAAGGAGUCUAACAUCUAUGCGAGUGUUUGGGUGUCAAACCCAUACGCGUAAUGAAAGUGAACGGAGGUGGGAACCCUUUACCGGGCGCACCAUCGACCGAUCCAGAUGUCUUCGGAUGGAUUUGAGUACGAGCAUAAAUGUUGGGACCCGAAAGAUGGUGAACUAUGCCUGAAUAGGGUGAAGCCAGAGGAAACUCUGGUGGAGGCUCGCAGCGGUUCUGACGUGCAAAUCGAUCGUCAAAUUUGGGCAUAGGGGCGAAAGACUAAUCGAACCAUC